Molecule: long non-coding RNA, 606 nt
Filed under: Ananas comosus (pineapple)
Lineage: Eukaryota; Viridiplantae; Streptophyta; Magnoliopsida; Poales; Bromeliaceae
Description: long non-coding RNA (ACOM_LNC007609)
Source: RNAcentral
UCUACUUGAUCUAAUUAAAUCUAAUUGAUCUAACUUUGUUAGAUAUAUAAUUUAUGAGUGACCUGGUAUGCUUCUGAAAGCACGGAGCCUUCUGUACUUUUAAGUUGUUUUCGAUGUUUGGACUUUCGAAUCGACGAUCGGCUUCGCUAGAGUUGAUCUAGAGUAUUUGAAGUACCCAGAAAAUAAAUUUUGUGAUUUUUCGAUAUCAUUUGCCUAGUGAUCGAAGGGACUCAAAAUCAAUAAUUUUAAUGACCAUGGUGAGCCGUUUGCAAGUUUAACGGUGUAGAAAUAUUCAAAUCACGUGAAAUUUUGCUAGAAAAUUCUUUAUACUAUAUAAGACAAGAUCAAUAACUUUGAUCUAAAAUUUUAAUGUCAUAUCAUCAUAUUUUGUAAGAUUUUUAUUUUUAGCCGUUGAUUUUGAGCCCCUUCAAUCACUAGGCAAAUGAUAUCGAAAAAUCACAAAAUUUAUUUUCUAAAUACUUCAAAUAGUAUAGAUCAAGUCUAACGGAAUCGAUCGUCGAUUCGAAAGUCCGAACAUCGAAAACGAGUUGGAAGCACGGAACGCUCCGUGCUUCUAAAAAUAUACCAGACGCACUCAUAAUUUAU